UCUUUUACAGAUAGAAAACCCCCCACAAGGUCUGCCAUGCGUCUCAGGGCCACAGAAUGUGUGUGUGUAUUGUGUUAUAUUUAGUGUGAGGAGAACAAGAAGCCGAAGAGGUCUUAAUACAUCAUACUCUGCUGCUGAACUCAGAAGAAGUUGAAUAAUGAACUUCUUACAUACAGAUACUGUUCUUGCAUCAGGCGUUAAUAUGUGUGUAUCAGGGCCCAGCCCCUUCCUUCUUCCAGGCCUUGGUUAAACCAUACACUCCAGCACGUGCACUACGCUUGGCGUCAGCCAAUCGGCUGCUACUACAUCUCUGUGAGUGGGACCCAGGUACCCCUCAAAAACACGCCUGUCUUCUAUCCUGGCUCCUAAAUGGUGGAAGAGCUCCCCAUUGACAUCAGGACAGCAGAAACUCUGCAUAUCAAAGCUAAAUGAAAACCCAUCUAUUUCGAUGAUUCGCUGGCAAUUCAAAAAAAGAAAAAGCACGUUAAAGAAUUAGCUUAGGCCUUGUAACUAAUGCACCAGCAGCAAUAGUAUGACUUGCUUGAAGUGCACUUUCCUUGUUGUUCGGUUUCAGUCUCUAUGUUUUUUUUGCACUUAUUGUAAGAAGCUUUGCAAAUGAAAUGAAAUGUAAUAUCUUGUUUUGCUGUGAUCAUGUUGAACUGCUGAGAAGCUUUGUGUUGUCCUUCCUCAGGUGUCCCUGCAGUACAGGGGCUCUCACUUCUGUGGGGGGGCCAUCCUGACUGAGCACUGGAUACUGACCGCUGCACACUGCUUGGCUUCACACUCUAAGUACUCUCUUACUUACUCUCUGCUACUGUCCAGUGCAUCAUGUCUAUGGAUAUCACAGUGGACUGUCUUGAAUGUAAAGGUUUUCUCCUCUGUCUAGAGAGUUCCUCAGCGGAGUGAGAGUGGUGGUGGGAGAGUUCGACCAGAGAGUAGAUGAUGAAGAGAAGCAGGCCUUCCUCAUCAAGUCUGUCUCAGUCCACGAGAAGUACCAUCACGCUUUGCCUAUGAACUAUGACAUAGCUCUGAUGGACUUGGAUCAGCACAUUGUACUGGGCAGGUUUCAGAAAACCAGGAAUAGCACUGAUCAUGUUUUAGGGCCAGUUCGCUCCAAAGUCAAAACAACAGCAUAUGUCCUCCUACCUGUGUAUUUAUCGAUAGGUUUAAGGUGCACAGGUUUGGAGAUAUCAGUCGUAAAGAUGGCUGUCUUCUUUUGAUGUCUCUUUAAAAAAUGCAUGACCUGGUUACUUGAGAUGAUCCGCAGACCUUUUUAUGAGCAGUUUAAUGGAGGAACAUUUUCUUUGUACAGAACUACAGCCACCUACCGUAUCACAGAGCGUCUCCUCGUGGUGAGAGGCUCGUGAUUGGGUGAAACGGUUGGCCGGCAAGUUAGGGAGAAGGAAAAUAGUCCCUAUAUAACUGGUAAGGUCUGUGGGUAAUUCAAGUAAUUGGGUCGUUAUUUCUGGAGAAAGAUAUUGUAUCAUCCCGAGAGAAGACAGACACAUUCUCGAUGUAUGUAAUACCUGACACAAAGAGGGAAAUACAGCAGUAAGAGGAAAGAGAACAUAUUUAUUUUUUCAUUAAGGUUUUGCUCUGUGUUGUUUUUCAACAGGAACCCAUGUUCAGUCAAUAUGUCUGCCUUUGCCCGAUGACAGCAUCCAACCGGGAACCAGUUGCAUCAUGGGUGGAUGGGGCCGGAUGAAGGAAAAGGGCCGUGUUCCUGCGGUGCUGAGAGAGGUCAAGUUAGACCUGGUGGAUCCGGUCAAAUGUCAAUAUGUCCUCCACACUGUCAGGAGCUCAACUCGUCCCCAGAGACCAGCCCAGCCUCAGCCUGCCAUGACCGUUCUGUGUGCCGGGCCAGAGGGGGGGGGGAGAGACUCCUGCCAGGUAUAAGGAGAAGAUCUGCUUCACCAUCAUUCCACAUUUAGUUCAAGAGCAGUGGAGCUUCCCUGAACUCUGAAUCAGUCAUCAGAUUGUGAAAGGUUGGUCAUGUUAUGACUCCUCCCUCCAUCCUCUCUGCAGGGGGACUCGGGGGGGCCUUUGGUUUGCCCUGCAGGUUCAGGCGAGGGCCGCUGGGUAGCACUGGGUGUGACUUCCUGGGGGAAGGGAUGCGGUCGGAGCUGGGGAAAGAACAGCAGCCGCCCCGCCGCCAGGAGAGGAUCUCCAGGGGUUUUCACUGAUGUCAGGCUGCUGCUGCCUUGGAUCAAGAGUAAACUGAGACAGGCUGAUGAGCCACAGCAGAGAACAUCUUUAUCCAACCUUCAUGCAGGUGUGCAGACUCUGAGGGGUGAGCAGCGACACGCUACAUCUUACGUGGAUGUGAGGCAUGUUCCCUGGAUCAGUGAUCUGAAGUGACUUCAACCAGCUGCUGACUGUAUUUGAGUGAGUUAAGGCAUUAGUUUGCUUCA
This is a long non-coding RNA of Gymnodraco acuticeps, 2411 nucleotides long. RefSeq lists it as uncharacterized. The record is from RefSeq and is a predicted model, not a curated record. The transcript has 5 exons. NCBI's taxonomy places the organism in Eukaryota, Metazoa, Chordata, Actinopteri, Perciformes, Bathydraconidae.